This 465-nucleotide ribosomal RNA is filed under the name uncultured bacterium. RNAcentral describes it as "partial 16S ribosomal RNA". It matches the Rfam family "Bacterial small subunit ribosomal RNA", at positions 28 to 507 of the family's 1533-position model. The record is from RNAcentral.
GACGAACGCUGGCGGCGUGCUUAACACAUGCAAGUCGAACGGAAAGGCCCUGCUUGCAGGGUACUCGAGUGGCGAACGGGUGAGUAACACGUGGGUGAUCUGCCCUUCACCUCGGGAUAAGCCUGGGAAACUGGGUCUAAUACCGGAUAGGAGCCAUUUUUAGUGUGAUGGUUGGAAAGUUUUUUCGGUGUAGGAUGAGAUCGCGGCCUAUCAGCUUGUUGGUGGGGUAAUGGCCUACCAAGGCGGCGACGGGUAGCCGGCCUGAGAGGGUGGACGGCCAAAAUGGGACUGAGAAAAGGCCCAGGCUCCUAAGGGAGGCAGCAGGGGGGAAUAUGGCACAAUGGGCGGAAGCCUGAUGCAGGGAAGCCGGGUGGGGGAUGACGGCCUUCGGGUUGUAAACUCCUUUCGCUAGGGACGAAGCUUUGUGUGACGGUACCUAGAUAAGAAGCACCGGCUAACUACGUG